AAUGAACGUUGGCGGCAUGGAUUAGGCAUGCAAGUCGUGCGAGAAGUCUAUUUUUGCUUGCAUUAAUGGACGGACAGCGGCGAAAGGGUGAGUAACGCGUGGAUUACCAACCCCCAGGUACGGAAUAGCGGCGGGAAACUGCCGGUAAUGCCGUAUAAUAUCUCCGGAUCAAAGCUCCGGCGCCUGGGGACGGGUCCGCGUACCAUUAGCUUGUUGGUGGGGUAAAGGCCUACCAAGGCUAAGAUGGUUAGCGGGCGUGAGAGCGUGGCCCGUCACACUGGGACUGAGACACUGCCCAGACACCUACGGGUGGCUGCAGUCGAGAAUCUUUGUCAAUGGGCGAAAGCCUGAACAAGCGAUGCCGCGUGCGGGAUGAAGGCCUUCGGGUUGUAAACCGCUGUCAGAGGGGAGCAAAUUUUGAGCGAUCCUCAGAGGAAGCCCGGGCUAAGUUCGUGCCAGCAGCCGCGGUAAUACGAACCGGGCGAACGUUAUUCGGAAUUACUGGGCUUAAAGGGUGCGUAGGCGGCGCUUCAAGUCGGGUGUGAAAUCCCCCAGCUCAACUGGGGAACUGCGCCCGAAACUGGAGUGCUCGAGGGAGAUAGAGGUGAGCGG
RNAcentral lists this ribosomal RNA (612 nucleotides) under uncultured bacterium. RNAcentral describes it as "bacterial SSU rRNA". It matches the Rfam family "Bacterial small subunit ribosomal RNA", at positions 28 to 664 of the family's 1533-position model. The record is from RNAcentral.